AAUCCACUCUGCCCAGAGAGUUCACUUCUUUGCUUUCUCUUGGGAGUGAUGCUGUGGAAUCUGCUAGCCUGGGAGACCUCUUUAGCUCCUGACUUCCUAUGGAACAACCAAGAGAUUCAGAAUGUAAAGCAAGGCUGAAGAAACAACUACCUCUAGGGAUCCAUGGUUUGUAUCUUCUUUGUGAACCCAUCUAUUACAUCAACGAUGACUACUGAUGCUGUCGGAAGCCUCUCUUUGGUUCAUGUUAGAGAAGUCUGAAGCUCGUUCAGCAAAAACAUCACAUCAAGCUGAGAUUUCUGCUCUCCUAAUCAUCUGCCCAGGAAUCCUGGCUGCAUAAUAACUAUAUGCAAAACUCAGAACAUAUGGUGCAGAAAACUAAUUACUGUAUCAAUAUUUCACUGUGUUGUCAGUGAUGGAAUCAUUGAGAAUGUUCUACAACUGUGGCUGUAGGAGCAAUGCCAGCAUGUUAGAUACUAAUAGCAGUAACAGGCCAACUUUACUACAGGGUAGCUGACUGCUGUGUCUCAGGGAGUUAUGUUUUUCUGUGUUUAUGAAAUAGUGGAACCUCCAGAGGGUGCAAACUGACCUCUUAAACAGUCAUCCUUUAUCAUUAUCAAGCCUAAUUAGAAGCCAUAUGCUCCCAGGGCUCACACACCAUGGAUAUACAACUUCAUAUAAACCUGCUAAAGCCCCAGGCUACAAAGCAAAACAGUUACUUAACAGUUAAACAGUUACUUAACAGUUAAACAGUUACUUAACAGUUAAACAGUUAAACAGUUACUUAACAGUUAAACAGUUAAACAGUUACUUAACAGUAUGAAGAUACAUUCAAAACUCACACAAAGCCAUUAUGGUCACAAUUGAACAGUCUAUGGGAGUACAUUGGCUACAUUGUAUCCAUCCUCAGGAAGCAGAGACAUGCCUACUGAUGUCUUCUUUCAUUUAACACAGGACUUCAGACAGUGGGACUGAGCCAUUCACAGGCAGGCAGCAGCAGCAGCAGCAGCAGCAGCAACAACAACAACAACAACAAAAACAACAACAACAACGACAACAACAACAACAGGUUGCUAGAUCUGCGGUCCAUACCACUGGACAUGCUGUUUGGGCAAGUGGAAUACUAGGAGUGCUUGACUGCGUCUCCAGCAGCCAUUAGGUGCUGGGCUUUAGGGAAGUGCCAAGACCAUACCUCAGAGGGUGGGAGAACACAGUCUAAGAUGUAGCAAGCUGAAGCUGGGGUUCCCUGACUCCAGGGCAUCCAGUCACCACUGGGGUGCUGCACAGAGGAGAAGGGAACAUAGAAUUAGGAGUCCACCCCCAGAGUUGAGGCCAGACCAGGUGCUCCCAAACUCCUGGAAAUCCAGGCAUAGCUGAGUCACUGAGUUGUGAGGAGAAGGGAGCAGAGUCAGGGCCUUGGGUUGAGCUUGGUGGAGGUUGUCUGGUAGCACAGAGGCCAUCUACUGGAGAUGGAGACGUACGCAGCAGCUCUGUAGGCAAAGGCCUUCUCCAUGCUCCCCAUGGUUUCAAUGGAAGAGACAGUUCAUGUUUAUACAUACCGUUUAUUGACUGUUCAUCGUGGAAAAUGAAGGCAUACCAACCUCUCAGGAUGGACCAGAGAAUAAACACCUUUUGCAGGGAGGAAUGUCUGCAUAUGGCCUAAACCCUAAGGAUCUCUCCAUACUUCAUUAGCACGGAGAACUCUGUCCUGGGGCCUGUGUGACCACAGGUCAGUUUCCUUUUGUAGGAAGUGUGGCACGAGUUCCAGGCCAGGUGUCAAGCUGGGAGCAGGGAGAUGCCUGCCAUCUCAGGUGGGUACCUGGGUACUAUGGUUUCAGACCUGCUCUACCUUACAAGUUUCCUGUCCUUGAAUACUCUCCUAAAGCUGGACUCCUCAGCACUUGAACAACUACAUUCAGAAAUCUGUAAUUACGGUACAGGGGUACAGAGAGACCCCGAGUGCCACAGACGGCUCAUAGCUAAUGAUUGAGCCGGGGAUGUAGGAAAACACAUCCUCUCUU
Non-coding RNA from Rattus norvegicus (Norway rat), 2018 nucleotides. The record is from RefSeq and is a predicted model, not a curated record. Lineage: Eukaryota; Metazoa; Chordata; Mammalia; Rodentia; Muridae.